GUUGGGAAUCUUGGACAAUGGGGGAAACCCUGAUCCAGCCAUGCCGCGUGAGUGAUGAAGGCCUUCGGGUUGUAAAACUCUUUCGACGGGGACGAUAAUGACGGUACCCGUAGAAGAAGCUCCGGCUAACUUCGUGCCAGCAGCCGCGGUAAUACGAAGGGGGCUAGCGUUGUUCGGAAUUACUGGGCGUAAAGCGCGCGCAGGCGGCUAUCCAAGUCAGUGGUGAAAGCCCGGAGCUCAACUCCGGAACUGCCAUUGAAACUGUUUAGCUUGAGGACGAGAGAGGUGAGUGGAAUUCCCAGUGUAGAGGUGAAAUUCGUAGAUAUUGGGAAGAACACCGGUGGCGAAGGCGGCUCACUGGCUCGUAUCUGACGCUCAGGCGCGAUAGCGUGGGGAUCAAACAGGAUUAGAAACCCUAGUAGUCC
This 425-nucleotide ribosomal RNA is filed under the name uncultured bacterium. RNAcentral's name for it is "bacterial SSU rRNA". It matches the Rfam family "Bacterial small subunit ribosomal RNA", at positions 354 to 796 of the family's 1533-position model. The record is from RNAcentral.